Molecule: transfer RNA, 70 nt
Filed under: mouse gut metagenome
Also listed under: 1 other name
Rfam family: tRNA
About the family: Transfer RNA (tRNA) molecules are approximately 80 nucleotides in length.
Source: RNAcentral
CGAAAUAGCUCAAUUGGUAGAGCAACUGACUUGUAAUCAGUAGGUUGUGGGUUCGAUUCCUAUUUUCGGC